Molecule: ribosomal RNA, 406 nt
Filed under: uncultured bacterium
Lineage: Bacteria
Description: partial 16S ribosomal RNA
Rfam family: Bacterial small subunit ribosomal RNA
Source: RNAcentral
AUCGAACGCUGGCGGCAUGCCUAACACAUGCAAGUCGAACGAGUGGCGGACGGGUGAGUAAUGUCUGGGAAACUGCCUGAUGGAGGGGGAUAACUACUGGAAACGGUAGCUAAUACUGCAAACCAUCAGAUGUGCCCAGAUGGGAUUAGCUUGCUGGUGGGGUAACGGCGCACCAGGGCGACGAUCCCUAGCUGGUCUGAGAGGAUGACCGGCCACACUGUAACUGAGACACGGUCCAGACUCCUACGGGAGGCAGCAGUGGGGAAUAUUGCACAAUGGGCGCAAGCCGGAUGCAGCCAUGCCGCGUGUGUGAAGAAGGCCUUCGGGUUGUAAAGUACUUUCGGCGGGGAGGCGUUACCCGAAGAAGAAGCACCGGCUAACUCCGUGCCAGCAGCCGCGGUAAUAC